GAUAGUCGCCACAGGUUGGUAGACUUUGCUGGUAGAAUUUUCCAUUGGAUCUCUCUGUUUCAAAGUGGGUUAUGGACUUGUCAAUUUCCCGAAACUAUUGUGUUGUCACUUGUCAGUAGAACAGAUUAACAGAAGGAUGAACAAAACUUACAGACCACAUGAAAAAAUGGAAAACUGCUGAUGCACCACUGCAAUUUCAGGUUCCAGUAUGUCAAACAGUUGCUUGUUCACUUCAGGAAUUGACUAAAACAAGUAAAACAUCUCCUCUCCACUAUUUGACUGAAACAUCAUCUAAACUCAGUUGGGGUUUAGAGGCCAUGGCAAGGUCCCAGAUCAGCCUGGAAUUGUUUGGUGUUUGCUGCCCAUUGUGCAGAAUAUUUGAAACUUUUAAUCUUGAACUGCUCCACUGUGAACUGUGAUUGAAGUAGUAAUAUUUAACUGGUGGCAAGCCGACCGUUUUGGCUUCAUUCAAAAUGGACGAUUUACGGGAGCGUCGCUAGCCAAGCAAUUCCUCGCGCUAUCGAAAGAGAUUGUUUACGUCUGGCGGAAUAU
This is a long non-coding RNA of Daphnia pulicaria, 552 nucleotides long. RefSeq lists it as uncharacterized. The record is from RefSeq and is a predicted model, not a curated record. Lineage: Eukaryota; Metazoa; Arthropoda; Branchiopoda; Diplostraca; Daphniidae. The transcript has 4 exons.